AAAGGGAGACCUAAUUCAGGUAGGAGACGAAAAAAAAGUAGUCGCUACCAAGAAUCAAUCCCAAAAGGUCGGAGCGAGGCGAAAUUGGCUUUCAAACUAGGUUCUGGGUUCAAACAAGACCUGAAUCAGGAACAAGGGCUAUUAGCUCAGGUGGUUGAGCGCACCCCUGAUAAGGGUGAGGUCCCUGGUUCGAGUCCAGGAUGGCCCACCUGCACAGGUGGCAAAAACAAGAGAAGCGAGGAAUCAGCACCUUAUCUUACUGACAUAGUAAGAGAGAAUGCUGGCUCUGAGUAAAGAGUCCAGAGGAACCUUGAAAACUGCAUAGAGCUAGGUGAAAAAGCCAAAAAAGAAGACCGCAAG
RNAcentral lists this transfer RNA (360 nucleotides) under uncultured Microcystis sp. Its description in RNAcentral is "partial 16S-23S ribosomal RNA intergenic spacer". The stretch from base 136 to 208 matches the Rfam family "tRNA". Lineage: Bacteria; Bacillati; Cyanobacteriota; Cyanophyceae; Chroococcales; Microcystaceae. The record is from RNAcentral.